This 280-nucleotide ribosomal RNA is filed under the name uncultured bacterium. Its description in RNAcentral is "partial 16S ribosomal RNA". It matches the Rfam family "Bacterial small subunit ribosomal RNA", at positions 28 to 300 of the family's 1533-position model. The record is from RNAcentral.
GAUGAACGCUAGCGGCAGGCCUAACACAUGCAAGUCGAGGGGCAUCGGGAUUGAAGCUUGCUUCAAUUGCCGGCGACCGGCGCACGGGUGCGUAACGCGUAUGUAACCUACCUAUAACAGGGGCAUAACACUGAGAAAUUGGUACUAAUUCCCCAUAAUAUUCGGAGAGGCAUCUCUCCGGGUUGAAAACUCCGGUGGUUAUAGAUGGACAUGCGUUGUAUUAGCUAGUUGGUGAGGUAACGGCUCACCAAGGCAACGAUACAUAGGGGGACUGAGAGGU